Molecule: long non-coding RNA, 595 nt
Organism: Dendroctonus ponderosae (mountain pine beetle)
Lineage: Eukaryota; Metazoa; Arthropoda; Insecta; Coleoptera; Curculionidae
Exons: 2
Source: RefSeq, a predicted model, not a curated record
UCGAUCUUCAACUGUCAAUAUCUUCUAAAAUAUUUCAAUAUUUUUCACGUACUCGCCAAGUGCGCCUCCAUAACCCUUUAAAAGGAAUGGCGCCAAAUUUGAAUCACCCUGUAUAUUAACGUAAUAGUUUUGUGUUUUUUGGGUACGCUACUGUUGCUUAUAGUUGAUACAGAUUUGCCUUAUCAAUUAUUGGUAUGAGUCUUAGAAUUAAGUGAAUGAUACUUGAAUUUUUGAAGCCCUCAAUGGAGCUGGCGUCACGUUUACCAUGACAAGGACAUAUUUAGCAUUCCUAUUCGCGAGCUCAAAAGUCCAUAGGCCCCCUGGUGGAUAAAAUUAGAACUACAAGUGAAGUAGUAAUUUGACACAUAUCUUGUUGACAUUGUUGUUUACAUCUUAUUGUGAUUUGUUUUGUUCUAAUCAAUUUUUGCAAGAAAUAGAAACAGAUCGGAAAGUGUGUGCUUCUCAAAAAUAUUUUGAAAUUACGAAAUUUCAAUGAGGAAACCUGAAUGAGAAGGACAUGUGCACUAACGUGGGAGACUAUUCGGAGAAAAUGAAAAUGUAUAUAUCUACAAAAUAAUUAGAUGCUGUACUAUUA